RNAcentral lists this ribosomal RNA (492 nucleotides) under uncultured bacterium. Its description in RNAcentral is "partial 16S ribosomal RNA". It matches the Rfam family "Bacterial small subunit ribosomal RNA", at positions 29 to 507 of the family's 1533-position model. The record is from RNAcentral.
AGUGAACGCUGGCGGUAGGCCUAACACAUGCAAGUCGAACGGCAGCACAGUAAGCGCUUGCUCUUACGGGUGGCGAGUGGCGGACGGGUGAGGAAUACAUCGGAAUCUACUUUUUCGUGGGGGAUAACGUAGGGAAACUUACGCUAAUACCGCAUACGACCUACGGGUGAAAGCAGGGGAUCUUCGGACCUUGCGCGAUUGAAUGAGCCGAUGUCGGAUUAGCUAGUUGGCGGGGUAAAGGCCCACCAAGGCGACGAUCCGUAGCUGGUCUGAGAGGAUGAUCAGCCACACUGGAACUGAGACACGGUCCAGACUCCUACGGGAGGCAGCAGUGGGGAAUAUUGGACAAUGGGCGCAAGCCUGAUCCAGCCAUACCGCGUGAGUGAAGAAGGCCUUCGGGUUGUAAAGCCCUUUUGUUGGGAAAGAAAAGAAGCAGGUUAAUACCCCGCUGUUCUGACGGUACCCAAAGAAAAAGCACCGGCUAACUUCGUG